Corythoichthys intestinalis (scribbled pipefish) is the source of this 2327-nucleotide long non-coding RNA. RefSeq lists it as uncharacterized. The record is from RefSeq and is a predicted model, not a curated record. NCBI's taxonomy places the organism in Eukaryota, Metazoa, Chordata, Actinopteri, Syngnathiformes, Syngnathidae. The transcript is spliced from 7 exons.
GGCCGCACUGAAAAAAAGUUUUUAAAAGCGUAUGCAUGUUUAAAAAUGUUAAAUUGUUAAACAACACUUGCGGUGAAAAUAUGAAGUGUUUAUUCUGAGUUGAAAAGACCGUACUUAUAUCUAGUAUUCUUAAUGUAAUUUAAAUAAUGUCUUCCUUUGCUAACUGCAUAUGACUUUGCUCUACUUAUAUUGUUUAAUACGUACUGAUGAAUUCAGCAGCGAAUUGGCUAAUGCUGCUAAUGAUUUUACUUUUUUUUCACAAUGAACAGUCUUCUUUGUGUAGUUUUCAUUAUAUUGAACUCUUAUUUUUUAUUAUGUACAUGCCUGCAAUUCGCAGCUCGCUGUUUUUGUUGUUGUAUGGUAUUGUUGUUUUGCCUUCAUUUGUUUUGUCUGGUCCUUUGUAGUUUGAAUGUUGUCACAUGAUCCAAAUAGGACAAGGUUGUAAUUUUUUCUUCAUAUUGUUACUCUGCUUAGCUAUAUAUUUUUUCAUCAUUAUUAUUAUUAUUUUUUACUAGCUCCUUGAUCACCACCCCAUUGGGAAGAAACUAAAUCACGACCCCCAAAUGGUAGUCUUCCCAUGCAGAUACAGGGAUGUCACACAGAUCCAAAUGGAGACAUCGAACACUGUAAAACCCACUGUGCAGACAGGACCAAUGGUGACAAUAUAAGACCAUGCCGAGCUUCAUGGACGGUUCAAACUCAUCCUGCCCAGGAACGGCUGAUAUGAAAUGCAUAUUUAUAACUUGUCUAACAAGUAGCUCAUUCAAAGGUAUAAAAAUGUAUUUUUUGGCGUGUGUAGGGUAUUAUUUUAACUAUGUAGCCUACAGAAUGCUUGUAUGGGCUCAUGUAGGUGUCUGCGUACGUUUGUAUUUAUAUAACAUAUGUCCGUGGGUAUAGAUUAUGUAUUUUUCAGGGAAGGACCAUAUUUGUGGCUGACCCCUAUGUUGUUGCAACAUGGUGAAAGCCUACAGGAUGUGACCCACACAUGCAUUUGCCUGUAAGGCUGAUUAGUAACAACUACAACUUGGAGGAUUGGUUCAUUUUCAAAGAACAGUCAAAUCAUAACAAAUUAAAUGAUCCAAAUUCCAAUUAUUUGUGGGAAGAAAAACAGAUCCAAUCAUCAGAUCAGAGAACUAUUGUUAUCUCCAAUGAAAUUCAGUAUCCAUUCAUAUUGGCAUGGCGUUUCCAUGAUGAUCCAGAAUAGCCUUGUUUGGUUUUGAAGGUAUGUUCCAGUCGAUCCUUUUAUGUUGCCCCUUCAAUUAAAGCAGAAUUGCACUCCAGAUGAUUCAUCCAUUCAUUUGAAGCAAAAUUCUAAAAUGCCACUCUAAAAUUACGAAUGUUUUGUUUCAAGGGCGUUGGCCCGGUCUCAACAUUGGUAGGGACGAAUAUAAAGCAAAUAAGGUUGCUCAAAAGUUGGUGGGGACAACUUUAGCAUCCUGAAAAGUUGGUCGUGUUAUGUCCCUACCGUCCCUAUGCAAACCUACGCCAUUGUUUUGUUUGCAUGAAUCAUUUAAACCUGACUGGUUGGUGUUCUUAUGCAUGGAAACACGUUUGUAAUUGUUUAACUACUGUAUUUAAUAUAAACCUAUAUUUUCAAUUGCAGAAAACGUUUACAGUCAAUCAACAGGGGAACAUGGAAAGAGAGGAUUGGAAGUGAAAUAGAGGUAUUUGGAAAAGUGUGUAUAUUCAUUGAUUCAAAACUUGAAGGAAGUGACUCGGUUAAAUUCUUACGUUAUGGUUUUCCGGGACAGCCAUAGGGGAAGGACUGUGGCAUCUUCAUGUUGAUGACUGAUAUGCCAACUCUGAGGAAGUGGUAGUGUAUAUUGCUAGCGGACAAUUUCAAACUUGGGUGCAUGCCACAGGAAAGAGUUUGCCCUAUGGACAGAUGAGGCAAAAGCAUUACUGCAGGGUUAAGUGCCACCAGUCUAUCAGUUACAGAGGUGAAAUUUGAAUAUAAUUGCUGAGGAAGAGGUGCAACCACAGCUCCUUCAAGUUAGUGGUGGCCCACUCCAAAAAGAUAUGGCGGGAAAAAAUGUUUUGCUAAAAGGAUUGUGCAAGACAGCACAAAAGCCUCGGACAGGGCUGGGGGUGUGGAAUCAAUGCAGUAGGAGUUCCCAAGUAUCCUGCAGAUGGAAGAGGAUGAGCACGAACUACAAUGUCUUGGAGCCAUUCAAGUUCUGUUUCAACCAUCUGGAAGAUGGAUUUACCUUUUUUGAGGAGAUUGUUGACUAAAGAAAAUAUCUGGUGUUCUCUCAAUAAUAAUAAAAAAUAAUAAAACUAAAAAAAUAAAGUUUACCACAUUAGAACUGGUUGUAUUCAGUUCAUUU